This 486-nucleotide ribosomal RNA is filed under the name uncultured bacterium. RNAcentral's name for it is "bacterial SSU rRNA". It matches the Rfam family "Bacterial small subunit ribosomal RNA", at positions 15 to 518 of the family's 1533-position model. The record is from RNAcentral.
GAUCAUGGCUCAGGAUGAACGCUGGCGGCGUGCUUCAUACAUGCAAGUCGAACGAGAAUUGGUAGCUUGCUACCAAGGAAAGUGGCGGACGGGUGAGUAAUACAUAGGGAAUCUGCCCUUAGCCGGGGGACAACAGUUGGAAACGACUGCUAAUACCGCAUAUGAGUAUGGUUGAGAUACUAUACUUGAAAACUCCGGUGGCUAAGGAUGAGCCUGUGCCUGAUUAGUUAGUUGGCGGGGUAAAGGCCCACCAAGGCGACGAUCAGUAGCUGGUUUGAGAGGAUGAUCAGCCACAAUGGGACUGAGACACGGCCCAUACUCCUACGGGAGGCAGCAGUAGGGAAUUUUGCGCAAUGGGCGAAAGCCUGAACCGCAGCAACGCCGCGUGUGUGAUGAAGCCCCUAGGGGUGUAAAACACUGUCAGUGGGGACGAAAGAUGACGGUACCCACAGAGGAAGCACCGGCUAACUCCGUGCCAGCCGCGGC